CCUACGGGAGGCAGCAGUGGGGAAUAUUGCACAAUGGGGGAAACCCUGAUGCAGCGACGCCGCGUGAGCGAUGAAGUAUUGCGGUAUGUAAAGCUCUAUCAGCAGGGAAGAAAAUGACGGUACCUGACUAAGAAGCCCCGGCUAACUACGUGACAGCAGCCGCGGUAAUACGUAGGGGGCAAGCGUUAUCCGGAUUUACUGGGUGUAAAGGGAGCGUAGACGGCGGUGCAAGCCAGCUGUGAAAGCCCGGGGUUCAACACCGGGACUGGAUUUGGAACUGUGCUGCUAGAGUGUCGGAGAGGCAGGCGGAAUUCCUAGGGUAGCGGGGAAAUGCGUAGAUAUGAGGAGGAACACCAGUGGCGAAGGCGGCCUGCUGGACGAUGACUGACGUUGAGGCUCGAAUGCGUGGGGAGCAAACAGGAUUAGAUACACUGGUAGUC
This 440-nucleotide ribosomal RNA is filed under the name uncultured bacterium. RNAcentral describes it as "partial 16S ribosomal RNA". It matches the Rfam family "Bacterial small subunit ribosomal RNA", at positions 338 to 795 of the family's 1533-position model. The record is from RNAcentral.